GACCCGGAUACGGCGUGUUCUGUGACGUCACCAUCCACCGCCGUGUAUGAGAUCAGAAAUGUGACGUCACCGGUGAAUGUUUCUCAACCAGAAUUUGAAGUCAGGAUCUCUAGCACCGUGACUGAAGCUGCCAUCGACUUCAACGACCAGGCCGUGCCGUUGACGUUAACGAUACGGUGUACUGACGGCAACCCCGUCAACGUCAUCACCGGGACUUUCAACGUCAAUAUCGUUGAUGAGGACCCAGUUCUAACGUCGUUUCCUAUGACGUCAUAUCAGUUCCUAGAAGACACUUCCAUUUCCGCUCUGGAGCUAAACUCAUUCAGCCUUAAAGAUUCUGAUGACGUCAUAUCUGCUUGAUGUCAUCUGUCAAAUCUGAAAAUCAACGUCAAAGCGUUUCAGAUUUGGUACAAGGGACGCCCGCGAGCGUCCUUGAACUAUGACGUCACGCCCGUUCAUAACAUCGGGAUUAUUUGCGACGACGGCAAAGUCUUUAGCGCGAGAUAUUAUUACGCAGUGGAUCUGGAAAACAACGUAAGUAAUCCAAGACGAAGAACAGCCCAACUGUAUGUCUGUCAUGGAUUAUACUUGGUAUACUAACAAAGAGGAAAUUACGCCCCUCCCAUUUUCCACCAUUGGUCAAAGCCUCCGGUGUUUGUUAACCUUCCUGCGGUUACUUUACGUCAAUAGCGGAGUCAGUGACGUCUAAAACAUUGCUAUAUUCUCUCACAGUAUCGGACCUAGGCGGAAUUCGGGGGUCACUGGUUCGAGCCCUGCUGCGUGCUACUUUUUUGUUCAAUCCUUUUUUAAUUUUUAUUUUUGAUUUUUUACUGGAGCUUUUAAAAUUUCAUGUUUACAUUUAUCAAUAUAAAGUAUUUGAUUACAAACUUCAAAACAUGCCAAAAUCUGUGAAAAGGCCCCUUUAACACUACACACAUUUGAUCAAAAUGAGUAUCGUAUUUUUACAUAUAAUUAUUAGUCGCCCGCAUGGUCCAUUUUGCCCCGCAUUAAUUUUUAAAGCAGAGUUUUUAUUUCUAUUCGUUUCAUUUUGGUAAACCCUACAUAUUUUACGACACAUACUGUUUAUUGUUCUUUAAACUGUUAUUAAUGCAAAAUGACACCAUCUAAUAAGCUGUAUGCGCUUGGUAGAUGAUCAGCAAAUACUUACACGAUGACUUUUGUUAUUUUGCACCUUACGCUCACCUCUAAUAUCGCAAAUUAAAUACCACUGUACUUGUAUUGCGCUCGAUCGCUCACAAGUUUCGGAAGACUAUUCCGUCGAUCAAUUGCUCAAUGUAUUGUUACUAAACCCAAUGCGUUCUAUGUUUCUAGCAAAAGUGUGAUAUUUUUAUUUUUUUAAUUACACUUUCUUCGGAUUGUUUUCGUCAAAUUAAGUUGUAUCAAAAUGUUGUUUAUGUGUAAAAAGAUAAUUGCGUCAAUAGAAAAUCACACUUUGUCAACAAAACGUAACGCUACGAAGGUGGAUUUCUUCUUUUUUUGUACUCAAAGGGUAAAACUAUGUCGUUUUAAUAUAAAAAAUUACGUCUAAGAUCUUCUUUAUGUUUAUUUCAAGUUCCACCAUGUUACUUGAGCGAUACUGCGUUUGCCGCGGGCAUUCUACCCUUGGAGCAAAGUACUGUGACACCGCAAAAUACUCAGUACCUGGUGUACGCCCAUAAUCCGGGCGGAUUCGAUUUCAAAAGUUCCGGAGCCGUGAACGCCGAGAACACGUGCGGCGACUCCGUGUCCACCGUCAGAGAGACGCUGAUUGUGAACAUCAUCAGUACGA
This is a long non-coding RNA of Dreissena polymorpha, 1789 nucleotides long. RefSeq lists it as uncharacterized. The record is from RefSeq and is a predicted model, not a curated record. The transcript is spliced from 7 exons. Lineage: Eukaryota; Metazoa; Mollusca; Bivalvia; Myida; Dreissenidae.